RNAcentral lists this transfer RNA (72 nucleotides) under Camelus ferus (Wild Bactrian camel). It matches the Rfam family "tRNA". From Rfam's summary of the family: Transfer RNA (tRNA) molecules are approximately 80 nucleotides in length. Their secondary structure includes four short double-helical elements and three loops (D, anti-codon, and T loops). Lineage: Eukaryota; Metazoa; Chordata; Mammalia; Artiodactyla; Camelidae. The record is from Rfam by way of RNAcentral.
GAGGAUGUAGCUCAGUGGUAGAGUGAGUGCUUAGCAAGCGCCAGGUCCUGGGUUCAAUCCCCAGUACCUCCA